This 471-nucleotide ribosomal RNA is filed under the name uncultured bacterium. Its description in RNAcentral is "bacterial SSU rRNA". It matches the Rfam family "Bacterial small subunit ribosomal RNA", at positions 21 to 518 of the family's 1533-position model. The record is from RNAcentral.
GGCUCAGGAUGAACGCUGGCGGCGUGCCUAACACAUGCAAGUCGAGCGAUUUACUUCGGUAAAGAGCGGCGGACGGGUGAGUAACGCGUGGGUAACCUGCCUCAUACACAUGGAUAACAUACCGAAAGGUAUGCUAAUACAGGAUAAUAUAAGAGAUUCACAUGGAUUUCUUAUCAAAGCUCCGGCGGUAUGAGAUGGACCCGCGUCUGAUUAGCUAGUUGGUAAGGUAAUGGCUUACCAAGGCGACGAUCAGUAGCCGACCUGAGAGAGUGAUCGGCCACAUUGGAACUGAGACACGGUCCAAACUCCUACGGGAGGCAGCAGUGGGGAAUAUUGCACAAUGGGCGAAAGCCUGAUUGCAGCAACGCCGCGUGAGUGAUGAAGGCCUUCGGGUCGUAAAACUCUGUCCUCAAGGAAGAUAAUGACGGUACUUGAGGAGGAAGCCCCGGCUAACUACGUGCCAGCCGCCGC